This 350-nucleotide ribosomal RNA is filed under the name uncultured Desulfobulbus sp. RNAcentral's name for it is "bacterial SSU rRNA". It matches the Rfam family "Bacterial small subunit ribosomal RNA", at positions 1030 to 1382 of the family's 1533-position model. The record is from RNAcentral. Lineage: Bacteria; Pseudomonadati; Thermodesulfobacteriota; Desulfobulbia; Desulfobulbales; Desulfobulbaceae.
GGAGACAGGUGCUGCAUGGCGUGUCGUCAGCUCGUGUCGUGAGAUGUUGGGUUAAGUCCCGCAACGAGCGCAACCCUUGCCUUUAGUUGCCAGCAGUUCGGCUGGGCACUCUAAAGGGACUGCCGGUGUUAAACCGGAGGAAGUGGGGAUGACGUCAAGUCCUCAUGGCCUUUAUGACCAGGGCUACACACGUACUACAAUGGCCGAUACAAGGCAGCGACACUGCGAGGUGAAGCCAAUCCCGUAAAAUCGGUCUCAGUCCGGAUUGGAGUCUGCAACUCGACUCCAUGAAGUUGGAAUCGCUAGUAAUCGUGGAUCAGCAUGCCACGGUGAAUACGUUCCCGGGCCUU